UCCCUUCUCAGAAGCAAGGCAUCCCGUGGAGACCUCCCCUGCGGGUCUUCCAGGCUCCUCCUCAUUGCCUUCAUUCACCUUCAUGAGUUACAGGUGUCAGAGAAGUCAAGACCUGAAGAGAACCCAGCCAUGCAGUGUAGAGGGAAGAGCAGAGCUCAUACAAACAGAAAGUGUGUCCCAGCACAUUGGGAGGCUGAGGCUCAAAAGAGGAGCUAUUUUGCCAUCUUGUGAUAAAAAGGGAUGGUGUGAGAAUGGGGCCAUCAGAGCAAGUAAGAGGCCAAGAUGGAGAACUGGAAUCUCUGAGUCCUGAAUCCAGCCAUCCCUGCAACCACUCCACCUGGGGACUUGUCCAUAGCAGGCUGGGAUCAGACAGGUUCCCUGUGACUACCAAGAGAGCGGUUGUCAGCUCUGCCUAUGUAUCUUUCCAGCAGGGCUGGGACCACAUGGGAAGGUUCUAACUCCAAGACCUUUUCACAAUCCUGAAAAGCACUAUUCCAGUUCUGUAAUUUGAUUUCUGCUUGAGCUCGAUUGUUAUAGGCAACUACAGUGGGAAGCGCCGAUAUACUCCUAGAAAAGAAACCGUUACUGGCAACAAGCAAGCCUAAGGUGCCAUUCAUCUGUUGACUACAAACAAAAACAAAUAAACUGCCCCAUCUUUUUGUUUUGAAGCAAAUAGAAAACAAUUUGAGGAAUUUGGAGGGAAAAGAGGAUUGGAAAAAAAGGAAUUACAAACGAAUUACAGAAACAUCGCCACAAGCAUUCUGGAAUUAUAACCUCACAGCUCUCUCCACCAGAGGAAAAGGAGAGUGACUCUUCUCUCUGUCUUCAGUUAGAGAAAUUCCAAGGAAGAACUGAUUGGCUAGCUCGGGUCAUGGGCCCAUCUUGACCAAGCACUAACAGUGGCCCAAAGUAGCCACAUUCCCACUGCUGAAGACAGAGGGCAGGUUCUGCACCGGAACAGAAUGAGAGAAAGGCAAACAAUAGCCAUAAUGCUCACCAAUAAUCAGUCUCCGAGACAGGGUACAAUUUUUUGCUAGGUAAGUACUAAGGAAUUAUUAACUUUAAAAUAUUUAUCUAUAUAGUCUGAAGAAAGGGAAGUAUAGUAGAAUUUAUAAUAAUAAAGUAGGUGCUGAUUUGUUUUUAAACUGUUACAUAUCUUCAUUCUCAUUAGGCUCAGGUUUGUUAAUAGCAAUACUAGGAACUAUAUAAACCACAUAAAUGAGUACUAUGCAGUCCUUACAGGCUCAAAAAGUCUCAUUUGAUGCUUGCACUUGAUUUCCUGCUCAUCAAGACAAUGUUCUCAAUGCUAAGAUGAUGUUAUGGGUUGAAUUGUGUCUCCCAAAACAAUAUGAUGAAGUCCUAACCCUGGUACCUGUGAAUGAGACCUUAUUUGGAAAUAGAGUCUUUGCAAUAUAAUCAAGUGAAGAUGAAGUCAUUAGGGUGGGCCCUAAUCCAGUAUGACUGUGUCCCUAUAAAAAGAGGAGACGAAGUUCCAAGAGAAGGAAGCUGGCGGUGUGAAAAUGAAAACAGAGCUUAGAGUUGUACCGCUACAAGGCAAGGAAGGCCAGGGCUUCCAAAAGCUGGAAGAGCCAAAGAAGGAUCUUCCCUUACAGGUUUUGGAGGCCCUGCCAAUACCUUGAUUUUGUACUUCUAACCCCUAGAACUGUGGAAGAAAACAUUUCUGUUGUUUUAUGCCAACCACUUCCUGUGGUGUUACAGCAGCCCUAGGAAACUAAUACGAGUUGUAUCACUUAGUUUCAAAAGGCAUUGAUGCGAAAUCAGGGGUAUUUAAUAUUCAUACGUGGCUCUCAAAUACCUACCUGUGACAAAAAAUAUCCCCCUUUAGGGAUCAAGAAAUGGACAUGAAUUGGCUUGACAUUUCAAACUGUGUAGAUAUAUCAAAACAUCACAUUGUUUUAUCACACCAUAAAUAUAUGCAAGUGUUAUCAAUUAUAACUGAAUAAAGAAGAAAAAAAUUUUCAAUAAAUAAAAAAAUGAAUGGGGAGCAAUAAAAGUCUCAAGACAUGGACUUAGUAUAUGGGAUAAAAUCUAAUGUGUAAUAUUAUAUUUGGAUAUUUUAAGAAGGCAAUGCUCUCUGACUGAAAGAUUGGGACAUGUGCCUUCUAUGUAUUCUUAUAACACUGCAUAUUUACUGUCAUAAUCCAUGGGGCGGCUCAAAUUUUUCAGUAUCAUGACACGCUCACACUCCUCAAAACUAUCGGUCAUUGGAGUUAUACAGAUUUUCCAAAUAUUCACAGAUUUCAUUAUACAAUUUUAUAAAUCACAAUUUGUUAAUAUCCGCAUGGAGCUCAUCAAAAAAGACUUUCAGGUAUGUUAAAUAAAAUUUAUAGGAGGUCAGUGAUUUGGACUAAGCUCCUGCACUAGGCCCCAACAGACUAAAAUGUAGUCACUGGUGCUAAAGUUCCAUAUCACCAACCCAAAAUUAACUUGCUUAUCUGACUAGAGAAAUCAAAAGACAUAGAUAAUAACCAAAUUUCUGCUUUAACCCUUAUAAGGAAAAUAACCUGUUGUUAAAUAGUCUACUUUUUGUAUUCCUUGUCCCUGCUCAAGCUACCUUAUAAAAACCAGCUGUUCUGCCAUGGCCAUUGGAGCACAUUUUCUAAAUUUUUAGAGGAGAUGUCAUCCUGAUUCACAAAUUGUUAAUAUAAGCCAAUUAAAUCUUGAAAUUUGUUAUAAUGUUGUCCUUUGACAAGUAUCCCCCUUAAGGGCUAUUUUCUGUCACAAGCAGAAAUUUGAGAAACACAUAAUAUCUAAAUUAUUAGAUAUUAUUAUAUUAUACUAAAUAUUUAAUACCUAAAGUCCUAAUUUGCACUUUGUUUUUAGAGACAGGGUCUUGCUCUGUUGCCCAGACUGGAGUACAGUUGUGUCAUCAUGGCU
Macaca mulatta (Rhesus monkey) is the source of this 2898-nucleotide long non-coding RNA. RefSeq lists it as uncharacterized. The record is from RefSeq and is a predicted model, not a curated record. Lineage: Eukaryota; Metazoa; Chordata; Mammalia; Primates; Cercopithecidae.